GAUGAACGCUAGCGGCAGGCUUAAUACAUGCAAGUCGAGGGGCAGCGCGGGUAGCAAUACCUGGCGGCGACCGGCAAACGGGUGCGGAACACGUACGCAACCUUCCCAUAACUGGUGAAUAGCCCUCCGAAAGGAGGAUUAAUACACCGUAACAUAACGAAGAGGCAUCUUUUUGUUAUUAUAGUAGCAAUACGGUUUUGGAUGGGCGUGCGCCUGAUUAGGUAGUUGGCGGGGUAACGGCCCACCAAGCCUGCGAUCAGUAACUGGUGUGAGAGCACGACCAGUCACACGGGCACUGAGACACGGGGCCGACUCCUACGGGAUGCAGCAGUAAGGAAUAUUGGUCAAUGGACGAAAGUCUGAACCAGCCAUGCCGCGUGAAGGAUUAAGGCCCUCUGGGUUGUAAACUUCUUUUAUCUGGGACGAAAAAAGGGCAUUCUUGCUCACUUGACGGUACCAGAGGAAUAAGCACCGGCUAACUCCGUGCCAGCCGCCGCGGUAA
This 502-nucleotide ribosomal RNA is filed under the name uncultured bacterium. RNAcentral describes it as "partial 16S ribosomal RNA". It matches the Rfam family "Bacterial small subunit ribosomal RNA", at positions 28 to 523 of the family's 1533-position model. The record is from RNAcentral.